GCAGGCUCAAAGCAAGAUCAUGGUCAUGGCCUUGAUCGCAGCUGCAGCCUUGGUUUUGCAUACAUUUUUUAGCUGGCUUUUGAUGCUAGAUUUGGGAUGGGGAUUGGUUGGAGCAGCGGUGGUGUUAAAUGCUUCUUGGUGGUUCAUUGAAUUGGCUCAGUUUUUAUAUAUUAUUAGUGGAACUUGUGGGCGAGCUUGGAAUGGAUUUUCAUGCAAGGCCUUCCAAAACUUGUGGGGUUUUGUUCGCUUGUCUCU
RNAcentral lists this unclassified non-coding RNA (255 nucleotides) under Hevea brasiliensis (rubber tree). Lineage: Eukaryota; Viridiplantae; Streptophyta; Magnoliopsida; Malpighiales; Euphorbiaceae. The record is from RNAcentral.